Molecule: ribosomal RNA, 520 nt
Filed under: uncultured Glomus
Lineage: Eukaryota; Fungi; Glomeromycota; Glomeromycetes; Glomerales; Glomeraceae
Description: SSU rRNA
Rfam family: Eukaryotic small subunit ribosomal RNA
Source: RNAcentral
AGCAGCCGCGGUAAUUCCAGCUCCAAUAGCGUAUAUUAAAGUUGUUGCAGUUAAAAAGCUCGUAGUUGAAUUUCGGGGUCAGUAGGUUGGUCGUGCCACUGGUAUGUACUGGCCUCACUGAUUCCUCCUUCUUGUAGAACCGUAAUGCCAUUAAUUUGGUGUUGCGGGGAAACAGGACUGUUACUUUGAAAAAAUUAGAGUGUUUAAAGCAGGCUAACGCUUGAAUACAUUAGCAUGGAAUAAUGAAAUAGGACGUUCGAUCCUAUUUUGUUGGUUUCUAGGAUUGACGUAAUGAUUAAUAGGGAUAGUUGGGGGCAUUAGUAUUCAAUUGUCAGAGGUGAAAUUCUUGGAUUUAUUGAAGACUAACUACUGCGAAAGCAUUUGCCAAGGAUGUUUUCAUUAAUCAAGAACGAAAGUUAGGGGAUCGAAGACGAUCAGAUACCGUCGUAGUCUUAACCAUAAACUAUAGCCGACUAGGGAUCGGAUGAUGUUAAUUUUUAAUGACUCAUUCGGCGCCUUA